Long non-coding RNA from Diceros bicornis minor, 2277 nucleotides. RefSeq lists it as uncharacterized. The record is from RefSeq and is a predicted model, not a curated record. The transcript is spliced from 3 exons. Lineage: Eukaryota; Metazoa; Chordata; Mammalia; Perissodactyla; Rhinocerotidae.
GGUGGCAUAUGAUUGCUUGAUGUUUCACUGUUACGAUCAGUGGGUUCAGAUGUCAUCAAUCGGAUUUAUGCAUUAUAAAGAUCCCCAUCAACCUUCCCCCUAAUAGUUUAACAUCUUUCAAGUUUGGAAUUCUGGUGUCCUCUACAGAGUACUGUACAAUAAACGUUCACAAGUGUGUUUCUGCCCACAGGUUCUCUGGAUAGAGGCUUCAGUUUGAGACUUUGGAGGCUAAAAGUACAGCUCAAAUGCCAGGGAUGGAGGUGAGCCUCCAAGGAAAUUGCAUCUCUGAAGAGAAGUUGCAGUCUGAAGAGAAGUUUUAGCUUUCAGCUCCUUUCAGCCAUCUUCUGAACAACUGUGUGGAGGAAAAGCCGGUUGUGCUGGAUCAGUCAACAGACAAAUAGGACAAAUCUGACCCAGAGGUCCGUAGAGCAUUGGCACUGGCAAGAUCAGAGAGAUGGUGGAAUUACUUGUGCUGAAGGAAUUCCAGACCCUCCUGAACAAGGAGUUUAAAAUUUGUCUCAAAACUCUGAAAAUAAUGAAGAGGCUGUGUCUCUGGAGGAUUUAACCCAAAUGAGGAGGAGAUAAGAAUGACUUACAGAAAGAAUAUACUAAUGAAAUAGGCUCAGAAGAAGGCAGUCUGCAAAGUAAAAUUAGGAAACAUCAUUUUUCCUUGCCCUUCUUUAGGCACAGGGUCAAUCCCAGGAUUCUCCUUUCCCUCAAAAUGGUGCCCAAAGGACAGAGGCUGGCCACCAUGCUUCUGAGUGCAAGGCACCAAGUGUUCCAUGUGACUAACUUCUAGUUGAUAUAUGCAGAAGUGUCAAGUGGCAGCUUCUGGGAAACUUUCCGAAGAAAUGGCUGAUAUGUGCCCUUCUUUACCCCUUCUGCCCUCCUGCAACCAUCUUGGAUUAUGAAGUCAAGUUCAUACAUGAUGGACCAACAAGAUAGAAGACCCUGGGUCGCUGACACUUUGGAAUGCCGUGGCAGCCCUCACCACCUACCUAGACUUUUUGUGUGGUUCCUGGUUGAGUCACUGUUAUUUUGAGGUUUUGGUUAGUUGUAACAUAACUGAUUCUUAAUUAAUGCAAGUGUAUUUCCAAAAAACUGAAUAGUACAAUCAGAUGCUAAGAAAUGAGGGUAGUCACUAUCCCACGUGAGGAACAAGGAGAAACUCAGCUGGUAGAAAUAAAGGAGUUGUGCUAGGAAAUAAGACUAAAUUACGUGAUAGUCUAGUUUGGGACAAAGAAAGCACUAAUGGCCCAGCUAAGUAAUUUCUAAUUUAUCUUGCAUAUAAAGGAAAGCCAGUGGAGUAUUUUUUAAAAGAAAUAGGCCAUGGUGAACGUAAUGUUUGAAAAUGAAAUUGUAACUGAAUGGAUAUAUGAGGUAAAAGAAAGUGAAGAAUUGAAAAUGAUGUGCUGGCAUCCUUGAGAAACGGAGCCCUGAGGAAGAAGGGACAUAUUUAAGAUUGAGUUAGUUCUGAAGGUAUUGCUUUUGAGAUGAUAAGAACAUGCAGUGAGUGUGGUUUAUGGGUAACUGAAGAUUCAGAACUAGAGCUUGAGGUGUCAGUUCUUUAUUUAGGGGAACAGUGCUAAAGCUGAAACAAAAAGAAUAUAGAGAGAAUUAUCACACCCAAGGCCUGAGCUUUGAGAAGUACUCCUAUAAAAAGCAUAAAAGGUAGAAGGUAUCAUGAAAGAAUCAGAGCAAUAGAAAAGCUAGAAUAAAAGGAAAGGAAAUGCAUGGACAAGGAGUGGGUUUCAUGGUAUGAAGGAUGUCAUCAAAUCCAGCAGAAAAGUUGAAAAGAAUGAGGACAAAGAUAGUGGGUUUAGGUAUAGAAAAGGAAGUAAUUGUGAUCUCAAAGACUGAGUCUCAAAUAUAGCCUGGCAAAUCUAAAGAUUUCCAGUUCUACAAAGAAGGAACUUUUCAGUCUCCAAAAAAAGAAAUCCUAGCAGGCUGCAAUGUGUAGUUAGAGAUUAAAGUAUAGUUGAAAAGUAUAGUAGCUUUUGUAGUUUGUCCCAAGUUUGUCUCAAGCUUGUCCCAAGGUUAUUUAUGUAGUCAGUGAGACCAUUUACUCUCAGUGAGGGUAGGGUAUGGAGGAAAUUGAAGAAAAAUCUGAAUAAUACCCACCAGAGGAGGGAAUAACCUAGGGAGUCCAUGUAAUAUGAAUAACGGCAUUGUCUAACAGAAGUGAGGGAUAUAUUGAAGAUGGUCUGAGAGACCUUUUAUUUAUUUAUUUUUAUCAAGUCAGUAUAUCAGUUGAGAAUGCUUUUGUCUACAAAUAAC